This 485-nucleotide ribosomal RNA is filed under the name uncultured bacterium. RNAcentral's name for it is "bacterial SSU rRNA". It matches the Rfam family "Bacterial small subunit ribosomal RNA", at positions 955 to 1438 of the family's 1533-position model. The record is from RNAcentral.
AGAUACGCGCAGAACCUUACCAACACUUGACAUGUUCGUCGCGACUCUAAGAGAUUAGAGUUUUCGGUUCGGCCGGACGAAACACAGGUGCUGCAUGGCUGUCGUCAGCUCGUGUCGUGAGAUGUUGGGUUAAGUCCCGCAACGAGCGCAACCCUCACUUUUAGUUGCCAUCAUUAAGUUGGGCACUCUGAAAGAACUGCCAGUGAUAAGCUGGAGGAAGGUGGGGAUGACGUCAAGUCCUCAUGGCCCUUACGUGUUGGGCUACACACGUGCUACAAUGGCAUCUACAACAGGAAGCAAAACGGCAACGUUAAGCAAAUCCCGAAAAGAUGCCUCAGUUCGGAUUGCACUCUGCAACUCGAGUGCAUGAAGCUGGAAUUACUAGUAAUCGUGGAUCAGCGUGCCACGGUGAAUGCGUUCCCGGGUCUUGUACACACCGCCCGUCACACCAUGGGAGUUGGUUCUACCUUAAGGCAAGGUUUNAA